GACGAACGCUGGCGGCGUGCUUAACACAUGCAAGUCGAACGAUGAAGCUAGAGCUUGCUCUGGUGAAUUAGUGGCGAACGGGUGAGUAUCACGUGAGUAACCUGCCCCGAACUCUGGGAUAACUGCUGGAAACGGUAGCUAAUACUGGAUACGACCUACGAAGGCAUCUUCUGUAGGUGGAAAGAAUUUCGGUUCGGGAUGGACUCGCGGCCUAUCAGCUUGUUGGUGGGGGAAUGGCUCAACAAGGCGACGACGGGUAGCCGGCCUGAGAGGGUGACCGGCCACACUGGGACUGAGACACGGCCCAGACUCCGACGGGAGGCAGCAGUGGGGAAUAUUGCACAAUGGGCGCAAGCCUGAUGCAGCAACGCCGCGUGAGGGAUGACGGCCUUCGGGUUGUAAACCUCUUUUAGUAGGGAAGAAGCGAAAGUGACGGUACCUGCAGAAAAAGCACCGGCUAACUACGUGCCAGCCGCCGCGGUAA
This 484-nucleotide ribosomal RNA is filed under the name uncultured bacterium. RNAcentral's name for it is "partial 16S ribosomal RNA". It matches the Rfam family "Bacterial small subunit ribosomal RNA", at positions 28 to 523 of the family's 1533-position model. The record is from RNAcentral.